This 482-nucleotide ribosomal RNA is filed under the name uncultured bacterium. Its description in RNAcentral is "partial 16S ribosomal RNA". It matches the Rfam family "Bacterial small subunit ribosomal RNA", at positions 30 to 507 of the family's 1533-position model. The record is from RNAcentral.
AUUGAACGCUGGCGGCAUGCUUUACACAUGCAAGUCGAACGGUAACAGGCCACAAGCUGCUGCUUAGUGGCGACCGGUUACGUACUGCAUCGGAAUGUACCCAGACCUGGUUGUUCGCUACGCGUAAGGUAAGCUAAUUUCCCAUACGAUCUCUGGCUGAAUGCGGGUGACCGCAAGGCAUCUUCGGAUUUUGCGCGCUGAUGUGAGAUUAGCUAGUUGGUGGGGUAAAGGCGCACCAAGCCAACGAUCUGUAGCUGGUCUGAGAGGACGAUCAGCCACACUGGGACUGAGACACGGUCCAGACUCCUACGGGAGGCAGCAGUGGGGAAUAUUGGACAAUGGGCGCAAGCCUGAUCCAGCCAUACCGCGUGGAGGAAGAAGGCCUUCGGGUUGUAAACUGCUUUUGUACGGAAAGAAAAGCAUCUGGUUAAUACCCGGGGGUAAUGACGGUACCGAAAGAAUAAGCACCGGCUAACUACGUG